GAUGAAGAACGUAGCGAAAUGCGAUAAGUAAUGUGAAUUGCAGAAUUUAGUGAAUCAUCGAAUCUUUGAACGCACAUUGCGCCCGCCAGUAUUCUGGCGGGCAUGCCUGUUCGAGCGUCAUUACAACCCUCAGGCCCCCGGGCCUGGCGUUGGGGAUCGGCGGAGCCCCCCGUGGGCACACGCCGUCCCCCAAAUACAGUGGCGGUCCCGCCGCAGCUUCCAUCGCGUAGUAGCUAACACCUCGCGACUGGAGAGCGGCGCGGCCACGCCGUAAAACACCCAACUCUUCUGAAGUUGACCUCGAAUCAGGUAGGAAUACCCGCUGAACUUAAGCAUAUCAAUAAGCGGAGGA
This 352-nucleotide unclassified non-coding RNA is filed under the name soil metagenome. RNAcentral's name for it is "partial contains 5.8S ribosomal RNA, internal transcribed spacer 2, and large subunit ribosomal RNA". The stretch from base 1 to 120 matches the Rfam family "5.8S ribosomal RNA", at positions 35 to 154 of the family's 154-position model. The record is from RNAcentral.